ACUACGGGGGGCAGCAGUAGGGAAUCUUUCACAAUGGGCGAAAGCCUGAUGGAGCAACGCCGCGUGCAGGAUGAAGGCCUUCGGGUUGUAAACUGCUUUUAUAAGCGAGAAAUAUGAUGGUAACUUAUGAAUAAGGAUCGGCUAACUACGUGCCAGCAGCCGCGGUCAUACGUAGGAUCCGAGCAUUAUCCGGAGUGACUGGGUGUAAAGAGUUGCGUAGGUGGCAUAGUAAGUAGCUAGUGAAAUCUGGUGGCUCAACCAUUCAGACUAUUAGCUAAACUGCUAAGCUCGAGACCGUUAGGGGUAACUGGAAUUUCUAGUGUAGGAGUGAAAUCCGUAGAUAUUAGAAGGAACACCGAUAGCGAAGGCGGCUUACUGGACUGUAACUGACGUUGAGGCUCGAAAGCGUGGGGAGCAAACAGGAUUAGAUACCCGGGUAGUC
This 442-nucleotide ribosomal RNA is filed under the name uncultured bacterium. RNAcentral's name for it is "partial 16S ribosomal RNA". It matches the Rfam family "Bacterial small subunit ribosomal RNA", at positions 338 to 795 of the family's 1533-position model. The record is from RNAcentral.